AAUCAAUGAGCUUGUUAAGCAUAUAUUUUGAAAAUAUACCAAAGAAAUAUAAUUUUCUAUUGAUUU
RNAcentral lists this transfer RNA (66 nucleotides) under Coelophora saucia. Its description in RNAcentral is "tRNA-Ser". Lineage: Eukaryota; Metazoa; Arthropoda; Insecta; Coleoptera; Coccinellidae. The record is from RNAcentral.